Theobroma umbraticum is the source of this 289-nucleotide long non-coding RNA. RefSeq lists it as uncharacterized. NCBI's taxonomy places the organism in Eukaryota, Viridiplantae, Streptophyta, Magnoliopsida, Malvales, Malvaceae. The record is from RefSeq and is a predicted model, not a curated record.
CAAGGAUCUAUCCUACAACAAAGGUCUCACAGGAUCUCUCCCAACAUCGAUUGCGAAUUUAAAGAAUCUAACAAACUUAAUCUUAGUUGGUUGUGGUUUCAAUGGUCCAAUUCCCGAUGCAAUAGGAUCUCUACCGCAGCUGAAGUACCUAUCCCUAAACUCUAAUGGCUUCACUGGAAGUAUUCCACCAUCCAUUGGUAAUCUAUCAAAUCUUCUUUGGUUAGAUUUGGCUGAUAACCAGCUAGAAGGACCAAUUCCAGUUUCAAAUGGAUCUACACCAGGGCUUGAC